GAUGAACGCUGGCGGCGUGCCUAAUACAUGCAAGUCGAGCGAACAGACGAGGAGCUUGCUCCUCUGAUGUUAGCGGCGGACGGGUGAGUAACACGUGGAUAACCUACCUAUAAGACUGGGAUAACUUCGGGAAACCGGAGCUAAUACCGGAUAACAUGUUGAACCGCAUGGUUCAACAGUGAAAGACGGUCUUGCUGUCACUUAUAGAUGGAUCCGCGCCGCAUUAGCUAGUUGGUAAGGUAACGGCUUACAAAGGCAACGAUGCGUAGCCGACCUGAGAGGGUGAUCGGCCACACUGGAACUGAGACACGGUCCAGACUCCUACGGGAGGAAGCAGUAGGGAAUCUUCCGCAAAGGGCGAAAGCCUGACGGAGCAACGCCGCGUGAGUGAAGAAGGUCUUCGGAUCGUAAAACUCUGUUAUUAGGGAAGAACAAAUGUGUAAGUAACUAUGCACGUCUUGACGGUACCUAAUCAGAAAGCCACGGCUAACUACGUG
RNAcentral lists this ribosomal RNA (497 nucleotides) under uncultured bacterium. Its description in RNAcentral is "partial 16S ribosomal RNA". It matches the Rfam family "Bacterial small subunit ribosomal RNA", at positions 28 to 507 of the family's 1533-position model. The record is from RNAcentral.